This 77-nucleotide transfer RNA is filed under the name Legionella sp. RNAcentral's name for it is "tRNA-Ile". It matches the Rfam family "tRNA". Rfam says of the family: Transfer RNA (tRNA) molecules are approximately 80 nucleotides in length. Their secondary structure includes four short double-helical elements and three loops (D, anti-codon, and T loops). The record is from RNAcentral. Lineage: Bacteria; Pseudomonadati; Pseudomonadota; Gammaproteobacteria; Legionellales; Legionellaceae. RNAcentral also lists the same sequence under 3 other names.
GGGCCUAUAGCUCAGUUGGUCAGAGCAGCGGACUCAUAAUCCGUUGGUCCUAGGUUCAAGUCCUAGUGGGCCCACCA